AUUGAACGCUGGCGGCAGGCCUAACACAUGCAAGUCGAGCGGAAGAAGGGAGCUUGCUCCUGGAUUCAGCGGCGGAAGGGUGAGUAAUGCCUAUGAAUCUGCUUGGCUGUGGGUGAUAAUGUCCGGAAAAGGGCGCUACUACUGCAUACGACCUGCGGGUGCAACUGGGGGAUCUUUGGACCUUUCCCUAGCAGAUGGAUCUAGGUCGGAUUAGCUAGAUGGUGGGGUAAAGGCCUACCAAGGCGACGAUUCGUAACUGGUCUGAGAGGAUGAUCAGUCGCACUGGAACUUGGACACGGUCCAUACUCCUACGGGAGGCAGCAGAGGGGAAUAUUGGACAAUGGGCGAAAGCCUGGUCCAGCCAUGCCGCGUGUGUGAAGAAGGUCUUCCGAGUGGAAAGCACGUUAAGUUGGGAGGAAGGGCAGUAAGUUGAUACCUUGCUGUAUUGACGUUACCAACAGAAUAAGCACCGGCUAACUUCGUG
Molecule: ribosomal RNA, 484 nt
Filed under: uncultured bacterium
Lineage: Bacteria
Description: partial 16S ribosomal RNA
Rfam family: Bacterial small subunit ribosomal RNA
Source: RNAcentral